CAUGGGGSUGCUAUAAUGCAGUCGAACGAACUCUGGUAUUGAUUGGUGCUUGCAUCAUGAUUUACAUUUGAGUGAGUGGCGAACUGGUGAGUAACACGUGGGAAACCUGCCCAGAAGCGGGGGAUAACACCUGGAAACAGAUGCUAAUACCGCAUAACAACUUGGACCGCAUGGUCCGAUCUUGAAACAUGGCUUCGGCUAUCACUUUUCGAUGGUCGCCGCGUUUAGCUAGCGUGCGGUACGCUCACAUGCAUGUACGUAGCGACUGAAGGGUAUGCCCAUUGAUAGAACGCCAAAUCUACGGAGCAGCGUAGGGAUCUUCCCAUGACGAGUCUGAUGAGCACGCCGCUGAAUGAGAAGGGUUCGCUCGUAAACUCUGUGUUAAGAAGAACAAUCUGAGAGUACUGUUCAGUNUGACGGUAUUACCAGAAAGCCACGCUACUACGUGCCAGCAGCCGCGGUAAUACGUAGGUGGCAAGCGUUGUCCGGAUUUAUUGGCGUAAGCGAGCGCAGGCGGUUUUUUAAGUCUGAUGUGAAAGCCUUCGGCUCACCGAGAAGUGCAUCGGAACUGGGAAACUUGAGUGCAGAAGAGGACAGUGGAACUCCAUGUGUAGCGUGAAAUGCGUAGAUAUAUGGAAGAACACCAGUGGCGAAGGCGGCUGUCUGGUCUGUAACUGACGCUGAGGCUCGAAAGUAUGGGUAGCAAACAGGAUUAGAUACCCUGGUAGUCCAUACCGUAAACGAUGAAUGCUAAGUGUUGGAGGGUUUCCGCCCUUCAGUGCUGCAGCUAACGCAUUAAGCAUUCCGCCUGGGGAGUACGGCCGCAAGGCUGAAACUCAAAGGAAUUGACGGGGGCCCGCACAAGCGGUGGAGCAUGUGGUUUAAUUCGAAGCUACGCGAAGAACCUUACCAGGUCUUGACAUACUAUGCAAAUCUAAGAGAUUAGACGUUCCCUUCGGGGACAUGGAUACAGGUGGUGCAUGGUUGUCGUCAGCUCGUGUCGUGAGAUGUUGGGUUAAGUCCCGCACGAGCGCAACCCUUAUUAUCAGUUGCCAGCAUAGGUCGGCACUCUGGUGAGACUGCCGGUGACAACGAGAGGUGGGAUGACGUCAUCAUCAUGCCCUAUGACCUGGGCUACACACGUGCUACAUGAAUGGUACACGNUGCGACUCGCGAGAGUAAGCUAAUCNCUGAAAGCCAUCCUCAGGUCGGAUUGUAGGCUGCAACUCGCCUACAUGAAGUCGGAAUCGCUAGUAAUCGCGGAUCAGCAUGCCGCGGUGAAUACGUUCCCGGGCCUUGUACACACCGCCCGUCACACCAUGAGAGUUUGUAACACCCAAAGUCGGUGGGGUAACCUUUAGGAACCAGCCGCCUAAGGUGACAGGUG
RNAcentral lists this ribosomal RNA (1387 nucleotides) under Lactiplantibacillus plantarum. RNAcentral describes it as "Lactobacillus plantarum partial 16S ribosomal RNA". It matches the Rfam family "Bacterial small subunit ribosomal RNA". Lineage: Bacteria; Bacillati; Bacillota; Bacilli; Lactobacillales; Lactobacillaceae. The record is from RNAcentral.